RNAcentral lists this transfer RNA (61 nucleotides) under Spathoderma clenchi. Its description in RNAcentral is "tRNA-Cys". The record is from RNAcentral. Lineage: Eukaryota; Metazoa; Mollusca; Caudofoveata; Chaetodermatida; Prochaetodermatidae.
GGCCCUCUAGUUAAUAAAUAACGCUAACCUGCAAAAUUAGAGUAGCCCUCGGCCCGGGCCU